UACGUAGGGCGCAAGCGUUGUCCGGAUUUACUGGGCGUAAAGAGCGCGCAGGCGGUCGAUCAAGUCGAGUGUGAAAGCCCCCGGCUCAACUGGGGAGGGUCAUUCGAUACUGAUCGACUCGAAGGCAGGAGAGGGUAGUGGAAUUCCCGGUGUAGUGGUGAAAUGCGUAGAUAUCGGGAGGAACACCAGUGGCGAAGGCGACUACCUGGCCUGUUCUUGACGCUGAGGCGCGAAAGCUAGGGGAGCAAACGGG
RNAcentral lists this ribosomal RNA (253 nucleotides) under uncultured bacterium. RNAcentral's name for it is "partial 16S ribosomal RNA". It matches the Rfam family "Bacterial small subunit ribosomal RNA", at positions 524 to 776 of the family's 1533-position model. The record is from RNAcentral.